CCUACGGGGGGCAGCAGUGAGGAAUAUUGGUCAAUGGACGAGAGUCUGAACCAGCCAAGUAGCGUGAAGGAUGACUGCCCUAUGGGUUGUAAACUUCUUUUAUAAAGGAAUAAAACGAGGCACGUGUGCCUUUUUGCAUGUACUUUAUGAAUAAGGAUCGGCUAACUCCGUGCCAGCAGCCGCGGUAAUACGGAGGAUCCGAGCGUUAUCCGGAUUUACUGGGCGUAAAGCGCUCGUAGGCGGUAUGUCAAGUCAAGGGUGAAAUCCCCGCGCUCAACGUGGGAACUGCCUGUGAAACUGGCAGACUGGAGGGUGUGAGAGGAUAGUGGAAUUCCAGGGGUAGGAGUGAACUCCGGAGAUAUCGGGAGGGAAAUCAGUGGCGAGGGCGACUAUCUGGCACAUAACUGUCGCUGAGGAGUGAUAGCUUGGGUAGCAAACAGGACUAGAUACGCUUGUAGUC
Molecule: ribosomal RNA, 460 nt
Filed under: uncultured bacterium
Lineage: Bacteria
Description: partial 16S ribosomal RNA
Rfam family: Bacterial small subunit ribosomal RNA
Source: RNAcentral